CCUACGGGUGGCAGCAGUAGGGAAUAUUGCUCAAUGGGGGAAACCCUGACGCAGCAACGCCGCGUGGAGGAUGAAGGUUUUCGGAUUGUAAACUCCUUUUGUUAGAGAAGAUAAUGACGGUAUCUAACGAAUAAGAACCGGCUAACUCCGUGCCAGCCUCCGCGGUAAGACGGCGGGUGCUAGCGUUACUCGGCAUCCCUUGUCGUAAAGAGCGCGUAGGCGGGCUAGCAGGUCAGCUGUGAACUCCUAUGGCAUACCCCUAGAACUGCAUUUGAAACUGUUAUUCUAGAGUCUGGGAGAGGUAGGUGGAAUUCUUGGUGUAGGGGUAAAAUCCGUAGAGAUCAAGAGGAAUACUCGUUGCGAAGGCGACCUGCUAGAACAUAACUGACGCUGAUGCGCGAAAGCGUGGGGAGCAAACAGGAUUAGAUACCCCAGUAGUC
RNAcentral lists this ribosomal RNA (440 nucleotides) under uncultured bacterium. Its description in RNAcentral is "partial 16S ribosomal RNA". It matches the Rfam family "Bacterial small subunit ribosomal RNA", at positions 338 to 795 of the family's 1533-position model. The record is from RNAcentral.